CCUACGGGUGGCAGCAGUGAGGAAUAUUGGUCAAUGGGCGGAAGCCUGAACCAGCCACGUAGCGUGCGGGAUGAAGGCCCUACGGGUCGUAAACCGCUUUUGCACGGGGAUAACACCCUCCACUUGUGGAGGUCUGCAGGUACCGCGCGAAUACGGGCGGGGAAAUUCCGUGCCAGCAGCAGCGGUAAUACGGAAGUCCCGAGCGUUAACCGGAUUCAUUGGGCUUAAAGGGUGCGUAGGCGGGCGUUCAAGUCAGCGGUAAAAGCGCGCGGCGCAACCGCCCCCCGCAGUUGAAACUGGACGCCUUGAGUGCACAACAGGCAGGCGGAAUUCGUGGUGUAGCGGUGAAAUGCAUAGAUAUCACGAGGAACCCCGAUUGCGAAGGCAGCCUGCCGGGGUGCGACUGACGCUGAGGCUCGAAGGUGCGGGUAUCAAACAGGAUUAGAUACCCGUGUAGUC
RNAcentral lists this ribosomal RNA (459 nucleotides) under uncultured bacterium. RNAcentral's name for it is "partial 16S ribosomal RNA". It matches the Rfam family "Bacterial small subunit ribosomal RNA", at positions 338 to 795 of the family's 1533-position model. The record is from RNAcentral.